Molecule: ribosomal RNA, 409 nt
Filed under: uncultured bacterium
Lineage: Bacteria
Description: bacterial SSU rRNA
Rfam family: Bacterial small subunit ribosomal RNA
Source: RNAcentral
UGGGGAAUAUUGCGCAAUGGGCGAAAGCCUGACGCAGCGACGCCGCGUGAGGGAUGACGGCCUUCGGGUUGUAAACCUCUUUCAGUAGGGACGAAGCGCAAGUGACGGUACCUACAGAAGAAGCACCGGCCAACUACGUGCCAGCAGCCGCGGUAAUACGUAGGGUGCAAGCGUUGUCCGGAAUUAUUGGGCGUAAAGAGCUCGUAGGCGGUCUGUCACGUCGGCUGUGAAAACCCGAGGCUCAACCUCGGGCCUGCAGUCGAUACGGGCAAACUAGAGUACUGCAGGGGAGACUGGAAUUCCUGGUGUAGCGGUGAAAUGCGCAGAUAUCAGGAGGAACACCGGUGGCGAAGGCGGGUCUCUGGGCAGUAACUGACGCUGAGGAGCGAAAGCGUGGGGAGCGAACAGG